Molecule: ribosomal RNA, 314 nt
Filed under: uncultured bacterium
Lineage: Bacteria
Description: partial 16S ribosomal RNA
Rfam family: Bacterial small subunit ribosomal RNA
Source: RNAcentral
UUAUAAGAGACAGCAGUAGCCGCGGGAAUACAGAGGGUGCGAGCGUUAAUCGGAUUUACUGGGCGUAAAGCGUGCGUAGGCGGCUUCUUAAGUCGGAUGUGAAAUCCCUGAGCUUAACUUAGGAAUUGCAUUCGAUACUGGGAAGCUAGAGUAUGGGAGAGGAUGGUAGAAUUCCAGGUGUAGCGGUGAAAUGCGUAGAGAUCUGGAGGAAUACCGAUGGCGAAGGCAGCCAUCUGGCCUAAUACUGACGCUGAGGUACGAAAGCAUGGGGAGCAAACAGGAUUAGAUACCCCCGUAGUCCCUGUCUCUUAUAC